Molecule: non-coding RNA, 30 nt
Filed under: Mus musculus (house mouse)
Lineage: Eukaryota; Metazoa; Chordata; Mammalia; Rodentia; Muridae
Source: RNAcentral
GUCUUGUACACAAUGUCCCAAGCUUCUGAC